This 393-nucleotide ribosomal RNA is filed under the name uncultured bacterium. Its description in RNAcentral is "partial 16S ribosomal RNA". It matches the Rfam family "Bacterial small subunit ribosomal RNA", at positions 523 to 918 of the family's 1533-position model. The record is from RNAcentral.
AUACGGAGGAUGCAAGCGUUAUCCGGAUUUAUUGGGUUUAAAGGGUGCGUAGGCGGUUUGCUAAGCGGGAGGUGAAAUGCCGGCGCUCAACGUCGGAAGUGCCUCCCGAACUGGUGGACUUGAAUGACUCUGCCGUGGGAGGAAUGUGUAGUGUAGCGGUGAAAUGCUUAGAGAUUACACAGAACACCGAUUGCGAAGGCAUCUCACGAAGGGUUGAUUGACGCUGAGGCACAAAAGCGUGGGGAUCAAACAGGAUUAGAUACCCUGGUAGUCCACGCAGUAAACGAUGAUGGCUAACCGCUGGGCUUAUCAGUUCAGUGGCCAAGCGAAAGCGAUAAGCCAUCCACCUGGGGAGUACGACCGCAAGGUUGAAACUCAAAUGAAUUGGCGGGG